RNAcentral lists this non-coding RNA (221 nucleotides) under Archangium gephyra. The record is from RNAcentral. Lineage: Bacteria; Pseudomonadati; Myxococcota; Myxococcia; Myxococcales; Archangiaceae.
AUCCCGCCCCCCGUCUUCGGUUCCUCCACCUGUUGGUGGGGACUCGAGGGAACCCGGUGCGAGUCCGGGACUGCCCCGCAGCGGUGAACGGGAACGAAAACCGUCAGGAUGCACUGGUCCUCACCCGAGGGCUGGGAAGCGACGGCCAGUAGGCAAGGUGUCCUCCGCGCGAGGCCACGCUGCCCGUGAGUCCGAAAACCUGCCGAGGACCCGUGCCGGUG